Brienomyrus brachyistius is the source of this 808-nucleotide long non-coding RNA. RefSeq lists it as uncharacterized. The transcript is spliced from 3 exons. The record is from RefSeq and is a predicted model, not a curated record. NCBI's taxonomy places the organism in Eukaryota, Metazoa, Chordata, Actinopteri, Osteoglossiformes, Mormyridae.
CUUCGGCGAUGAAUUGACUGGUGGUUCGGCUGCCUGUCCAAAGUUAGUGUACUUGAGGUAUCAUCUCAGGGAAGAUGCUGAAAUAAAACCAAAACUAAAUUUUAAAAAGCACCAAGCUUCAUAUUGGCUAGCCUGUGAUAGCUCUUUGGGUGCUCACAAGUGGAUCUAUGAUUAAGGAUCUGUGGUUGACUAGGUUGUCAGCUUGUAAGUUGUCAAAAUUACCAGUAGGGUUAAAAUGGACCCACUUUAUGCUUCUUCUUUGGUAGGAUUUAUAGCUAUAGAUGGCCGUGUUUAUAUCUCAAUAUCAUUCAUGAGUGUGGCAAGUUGGCUCUGUGGGUAGCAGUAUUGCCUCAUACUUCCAGGGUCAGGAGUUCAAAUCCCAUCUCAACCAUGUGUGUAUGGAGUGUGCAUGUCCUUCUGUUGUCAUAUAGGAAUUCCUUUAGGUACUCAUAACUCCUAUGCAGUUAAUAUGGAGUGUGCAUGUCCUUCUGUUGUCAUAUAGGUAUUCCUUUAGGUACUCAUAACUCCUAUGCAGUUAAUAUGGAGUGUGCAUGUCCUUCUGUUGUCAUAUAGGUAUUCCUUUAGGUACUCAUAACUCCUAUGCGGUUAAGGUAACCGGCAUCUCUAAACUGUCCAUUGUGUGUUUGUUCUCUGAUGGACUGGCAUUCCUUCGGGGGAUAGACGCUGAUGACCUGCGUUGUGCUCAGUCAUCAGCGGGUCUUCAUUAAUAGCCCACGCAGUACAUGCUCCCAGUGCGUAACCCCAGAGCACCAUACCAGCCCACGGCCCUCAGCUUCUCUCUGUAUCC